This 1325-nucleotide ribosomal RNA is filed under the name seawater metagenome. RNAcentral describes it as "bacterial LSU rRNA". It matches the Rfam family "Bacterial large subunit ribosomal RNA", at positions 1103 to 2415 of the family's 2925-position model. The record is from RNAcentral.
GGCUUAGAAGCAGCCAUCCUUUAAAGAAAGCGUAAUAGCUCACUGGUCGAGUCGGUCUGCGCGGAAGAUGUAACGGGGCUAAACUAUGCACCGAAGCUGCGGAUUCAGAAUUUAUUCUGAGUGGUAGGGGAGCGUUCUGUAAGCGGUUGAAGGUGUACCGGGAGGUAUGCUGGACGUAUCAGAAGUGCGAAUGCUGACAUGAGUAACGAUAAUGCGGGUGAAAAACCCGCACGCCGGAAGACCAAGGUUUCCUGUCCCAUGCUAAUCAGGGCAGGGUAAGUCGGCCCCUAAGGCGAGGCAGAAAUGCGUAGUCGAUGGGAAACGGAUUAAUAUUUCCGUACUUGGUAUAUCAGUGAUGGGGGGACGGAGAAGGUUAUGCAAGCAUAGCGUUGGUUGUCUAUGUGAAAGUGUGUAGGGUUGAAUCUUAGGUAAAUCCGGGAUUCUACAUGCCUGAGACACGAGACGAGACUCUACGGAGUUGAAGUUGCAAAUACCCUGCUUCCAGGAAAAGCCUCUAAACUUAUGAUAUAUCGAACCGUACCCCAAACCGACACAGGUGGUCAGGUAGAGAAUACUAAGGCGCUUGAGAGAACUCGGGUGAAGGAACUCGGCAAAAUUGUACCGUAACUUCGGGAGAAGGUACGCCUCUGUUUGUGAACACUUUACGUGGUAAGCAAAUGGAGGCCGCAGUGACCAGGUGGCUGGGACUGUUUAUUAAAAACACAGCACUCUGCAAACUCGUAAGAGGACGUAUAGGGUGUGACACCUGCCCGGUGCCGGAAGGUUAAUUGAUGGGGUUAGUUUUCGGACGAAGCUCUUGAUCGAAGCCCCGGUAAACGGCGGCCGUAACAAUAACGGUCCUAAGGUAGCGAAAUUCCUUGUCGGGUAAGUUCCGACCUGCACGAAUGGUGUAACCAUGGCCACGCUGUCUCCACCCGAGACUCAGUGAAAUUGAAAUCGCAGUGAAGAUGCUGUGUACCCGCACCUAGACGGAAAGACCCCGUGAACCUUUACUACAGCUUGGCACUGAACAUUGAACCUACAUGUGUAGGAUAGGUGGGAGGCUUUGAAGCACAGUCGCUAGAUUGUGUGGAGCCGUCCUUGAAAUACCACCCUUGUAUGUUUGAUGUUCUAACAUUGGCCCCUUAUCGGGGUUGUGGACAGUGUCUGGUGGGUAGUUUGACUGGGGCGGUCUCCUCCCAAAUAGUAACGGAGGAGCACGAAGGUUAGCUAAUCACGGUCGGACAUCGUGAGGUUAGUGCAAUGGCAUAAGCUAGCUUAACUGCGAGACAGACACGUCGAGCAGGUACGAAAGUAGGUCAUAG